This 72-nucleotide transfer RNA is filed under the name Candidatus Iainarchaeum sp. RNAcentral describes it as "tRNA-Arg". It matches the Rfam family "tRNA". From Rfam's summary of the family: Transfer RNA (tRNA) molecules are approximately 80 nucleotides in length. Their secondary structure includes four short double-helical elements and three loops (D, anti-codon, and T loops). The record is from RNAcentral. Lineage: Archaea; Nanobdellati; Candidatus Iainarchaeota; Candidatus Iainarchaeia; Candidatus Iainarchaeales; Candidatus Iainarchaeaceae.
GGACCCAUCGGCUAAUGGACAGGCCAGACGGCUUCGGACCGUCCAAUGGGGGUUCGAUUCCCUCUGGGUCCA